GAAAGGAUGGGGUGGAAUACAGUUGUGGGCUAUUGGUAAGGUCCCAGUUUUUGUGGUGGACAGUAUCUCGUAGGUGUUACAUUAUCAAAAAUAUAUAGCUAAUUACAUACAUGAACACAUGAAUAAAAGAGGGUUAUGCAUUGACCAAAGAUGAUAGUGCAAUGAGCCAAAAAUUAUGUUGUGCACUGGAGGUGAAGGAGUGAGGGGAAGAGAGAAAGAAAGGCUCAGACCCUGAGGCGCAUCAACUGAGUGUGGGGAAAAGCUACAGAUCAUAAUGGAAGAGAAGAAGACAGUGUUUUAAUUUUGUUCCUGUUUGCUGUGGCCAGUUGCAGCCCACCAUAAUAUGUUAAGAAGGCUGUCCCACAGGGCAGCCCACUCUGAGCUCAACCUGGAGCCAACUGAACAUUGGAAACCAUGCAUCUCAUCUGUGGCUCCCUCAUUACCCCCAUCUUGAUUUCUGAGUUUACUCAUCUAUCGUCGGUCUGUUCCUCCUCCUCGUUACUUCAGCACUGUGCAUGUGUGUUUCUGUUGUCUUGGUGUUUGACACUCUCCUGAUCACACCUUUGCCCUGUAUCUCAGCUCAGGGGCUCUUAUCUUUUGGAACCUACACCUCAUACAGGAUUGGAGCUUUUCUUAAGAACACUCAGGUUUCAGGGUUCUGAGUUCUACUCCCAACUCAGUCCACUGAAGGAAGGACACAAAUAGGCAAGGCUUAAAAAUGUGCUUCAGUCUAAGUCUCAAGGAUGAGAUAAAGGUGUUAAAUGCCAUUUGAUGUUAAAGUUUUAUAUAUAUGCCUGGACAUUAUCAGAAACACAUAAUUUUUAAAAUUGUGCUUCAAAGACCACAACACUGCUUCAGUUGAGACAUGUGAUAAUUCCACACAACAAAGAAACCAUGGCAUUAGCUGAGAGGGACCUUGGCACAUCCGGAUAGGCACUGCUUCAUGGAAGGAAAGAGGAAGUUUAGACCAGGUUGCAUGCUGGGACCAGUCUGUCCAGAUUUGAAUCAUGGCUCUGCCACUUAUUGGUGGAUGUGUGGUGAUGCUAACAAGGAGUUUCCUGGAGAUGUGGGCACCUCCUGUCCCUGCUGUGGUUUCGUAUGCUGCCUCCACUUGACACCUCUCACCUGCACAGCAGACAGGGCUUUCCUCCUGGAAAGUGCCUCCUCGAAAAACUUUUCCUCCACUCUUUGGCUCUCAAUCACGCUCCCUUGCCAUAAAUCAACUUCUGUCUCUCUAACAAAGAAAAUUAAAAGCUAUUUAUUCUAUGUGCUUAUUAAGAGAUA
Molecule: long non-coding RNA, 1284 nt
Filed under: Homo sapiens (human)
Lineage: Eukaryota; Metazoa; Chordata; Mammalia; Primates; Hominidae
Description: HSALNT0357603
Source: RNAcentral